UACAGAGGGUGCGAGCGUUGUCCGGAAUCACUGGGCGUAAAGGGCGCGUAGGUGGCGACCCAAGUCGAUGGUGAAAGCUCGCCGCUCAACGGCGAGUCGGCCACCGAUACUGGGUUGCUGGAGCACUGUAGAGGGCAGAUGGAAUUCCGGGUGUAGCGGUGGAAUGCGUAGAGAUCCGGAAGAACACCGGUGGCGAAGGCGGUCUGCUGGGCAGUUGCUGGACACUG
RNAcentral lists this ribosomal RNA (227 nucleotides) under uncultured bacterium. Its description in RNAcentral is "partial 16S ribosomal RNA". It matches the Rfam family "Bacterial small subunit ribosomal RNA", at positions 524 to 748 of the family's 1533-position model. The record is from RNAcentral.